This 397-nucleotide ribosomal RNA is filed under the name marine bacterium SI-201. Its description in RNAcentral is "bacterial SSU rRNA". It matches the Rfam family "Bacterial small subunit ribosomal RNA", at positions 33 to 458 of the family's 1533-position model. Lineage: Bacteria; Pseudomonadati; Pseudomonadota; Gammaproteobacteria. The record is from RNAcentral.
ACGCNGGCGGCAGGCCUACACAUGCAANUCGAGCGAGACCUUCGGGUCUAGCGGCGGACNGUUGANUAACGCGUGGGAACGNGCCCUNCUCUACGGAAUAGUCCCGGGAAACUGGGUUUAAUACCGUAUACGCCCUUCGGGGGAAAGAUUUAUCGGAGAAGGAUCGGCCCGCGUUAGAUUAGGUAGUUGGUGGGGUNAUGGCCUACCAAGCCUACGAUCUAUAGCUGGUUUGAGAGGAUGAUCAGCCACACUGGGACUGAGACACGGCCCAGACUCCUACGGGAGGCAGCAGUGGGGAAUCUUAGACAAUGGGGGCAACCCUGUUCUAGCCAUGCCGCGUGAGUGAUGAAGGCCUUAGGGUCGUAAAGCUCUUUCGCUGGGGGAAGAUAUGACUGUC